Molecule: long non-coding RNA, 307 nt
Organism: Haliotis rubra (blacklip abalone)
Lineage: Eukaryota; Metazoa; Mollusca; Gastropoda; Lepetellida; Haliotidae
Exons: 2
Source: RefSeq, a predicted model, not a curated record
UAUUGUAUGUUGAGGACAUGAAGAAGCUUUAUGGAAAGGGUGGCUUCGAAGAUGCAAAGGACAUAGCUGCUUCUGUGAAUGAUCUGCUGGAGGAUGACGACAGUAACGGCACCAUAAUUCACACGUGUCCCGAAGGACAGAAUCGUAGGGUGAAGAUAGAGGCGACUGAUGAAUCAACUUAAGGAGUCACUCUCAAAUACAUUGCCAAGCAGUUGGUUAUCAGAGAGGUUCUGAGAUCGAUUAGCGUGAAAUUUUGUACAGCAAAACGUCAAUGUUCAUUUUUUAAUUAAAAACUAUGCUGAAGCAA